GAUCCUGGCUCGGGACGAACGCUGGCGGCGUGCCUAACACAUGCAAGUCGAGCGGAGACAGUGAGUAGCUUGCUAUGAGCUGUUUUAGCGGCGGACGGGUGAGUAACGCGUGAGCAACCUUUCCCAGACAGGGGGAAUAACACACCGAAAGGUGUACUAAUACCACAUAAGACCACGGGAUCACAUGGUUCUGAGGUAAAAGAUUUAUCGGUUUGGGGUGGGCUCGCGUCCGAUUAGGUAGUUGGUGAGGUAACGG
RNAcentral lists this ribosomal RNA (256 nucleotides) under uncultured bacterium. RNAcentral's name for it is "partial 16S ribosomal RNA". It matches the Rfam family "Bacterial small subunit ribosomal RNA", at positions 15 to 263 of the family's 1533-position model. The record is from RNAcentral.